RNAcentral lists this long non-coding RNA (1731 nucleotides) under Monodelphis domestica (gray short-tailed opossum). RNAcentral's name for it is "lncRNA (ENSMODG00000047563.1)". The record is from RNAcentral. Lineage: Eukaryota; Metazoa; Chordata; Mammalia; Didelphimorphia; Didelphidae.
CAGGCCCGAGGGCAUCAGUGAGGGAGGGGGACAGCCACCAGCUGACACUGCACUUUGGCCCGGGGGGUGGGGCUGGGGGACAUCGGGCCUUGGGCUCUGGUUUCCUCACUCUCUCGGCCAGAGCUCGGGUGGCUCGCCAUGUCUGCUUCUUUUUUUUAAUUGAGACCUAAAUGAUGAAUGUAACCACAAGGUUGGCAGGGACCAGGGUAGCUUUUAAGGGCAUUCUGGUAUUACGGGGGUGAAGGAAGAGGGGGCAAGCCACAGGGAUUCCCCCUUCCCUUUGGUGGGGCCUUACCCCAGAACAGAUUCUCCCCAAACCCGGGAUGGAGUUUGGGGGGGCAGCCCUAACCUAUAUCCAUCGCCAGUCCAACUUGGGGCUCCCCAGCCCUCCCGAAUCACAGGACGGCCGGAGGGUUGAAUCUAAACCAAAGCUGCCUGCAAUCCUCCAUCCCGACAGGGCUUCAAGACCACGUCUUCCCAGACACUCUAGUUCAACUCCACUCCCCCCUUCCGCCCCAACCCGACCUGCGCAGUGUUUACAUGUGUUUUUGCUGCUGCCUCCCCCCCGAACCCCCAAAGGGAGGCAUCUCUGGGGGGAGACCCCACCUGCGGCUCUCCCCCCACAAUCCCCCAGCCUCCGAGUUUCCCUUAUGAACUCUGACCCGGGGCUGACGAAAAUAAGGGAUGAGGGAGCCUGCCCUAGUCUCUCUCCCUCCCGGGUCUCUUCCUAGUUUAAACCUGUUUAGCCUGGGCUGUGGGAGAAGGGAGACAAGAGGCAGGACUCCCUUCUCCAGCGCCGGUAACCGCUCCUUCCUGAGGAAAGCCGCAGGUUUCUGCCCCUUCCAAGUCUUCUAUUAAGUGAAGUCCAGGCUCCUCCAACUGGGGCAACUCUGGGGAGGAAUGGGGGGAUGGGCCGCAUCCCCCUCCCCUCCCCAAACCUCACCUCAGGUGCUAGCUGGGGGGGACCUGGGGCUGCCACCUUCUGAUUCCUUCUAAGUAGCUGUGGGGAGCCCGGCGGCACCUGGCUGCGGUGACUCGGGAGGCGGGCUCCUGGAUGCCUGGGUAGGAAGCCACCGACGAGCCCUGCCCCAAGCACACCUGUCCUGCCGCCCGGAGAAGUCGAAGCAGGUCUAGCGAUGCCUUACGGAGUUCCCCUGGUGGGAGCGUGUGCACGUCGUGUCCGCACGUGCCUGGGCGUGAGGGUCCGGCUUUGCGCCUGGGCACCGGCGCCCUGAGGGCGUGCCUGUGUGCGUCCGUCCGUCUGUGUGUCUGUCUGUCUGUGUGUGCACACGCGUGUGUAUGGUGUAUGUGUACGUGGGCCCACACUGGUUGGGGGAGAAGAGAGAGAAUGUCUACCACCGUUGUGUGACCGGUAAGCCUGAUGCUCUCAGCCAUCGGCAUCCUCUCCUCUCCUCGCCCGCCCCUGGAGGCUCCCUGAGAGCGAUGCCGUCUCCAUGCAGCAUCCUGUAAAUACACCAUUAUGGGGGGAAGGGGAUGAGAGGGAAUUAAAGAUCACAUCCUGGGGCUUCCAUGGAGCUCACACUCACACUCUUGGUCUCUUUAUUGACUUGACUUUUUCUUUUUGAAGCCUUCCAUCUGGAUUAAUACUGUGUAUUGGCUCCAAGACAAGAGUGGCCAGGGCUAGGCAAUGGGGGUCAAGUGACUUGCCCAGGGUCACACAGCUGGGAAGUGUCUGAGGCCAGAUUUGAACCUAGGACCUCCCGUCUCUAA